RNAcentral lists this ribosomal RNA (426 nucleotides) under uncultured archaeon. Its description in RNAcentral is "bacterial SSU rRNA". It matches the Rfam family "Archaeal small subunit ribosomal RNA", at positions 474 to 903 of the family's 1478-position model. The record is from RNAcentral.
UACCAGCUCUCCGAGUGGUAGGGAUGUUUAUUGGGCUUAAAGCGUCCGUAGCCGGCUUAGCAAGUCUCCUGUUAAAUUCAGCGACCUAAUCGUUGAGCCGCGGGAGAUACUACUAGGCUAGGAGGCGGGAGAGGUCAACGGUACUUCCGGGGUAGGGGUGAAAUCCUAUAAUCCCGGGAGGACCACCAGUGGCGAAGGCUGUUGACUAGAACGCGCUCGACGGUGAGGGACGAAAGCUGGGGGAGCGAACCGGAUUAGAUACCCGGGUAGUCCCAGCUGUAAACGAUGCGAGCUAGGUGUGGGGUGGCUACGUGCCACUUCAGUGCCGCAGGGAAGCCAUUAAGCUCGCCGCCUGGGGAGUACGGCCGCAAGGCUGAAGCUUAAAGGAUUGGCGGGGAGCACCACAAGGCGUGAAGCUUGCGGUUC